Molecule: non-coding RNA, 157 nt
Organism: Pelobates cultripes (western spadefoot toad)
Lineage: Eukaryota; Metazoa; Chordata; Amphibia; Anura; Pelobatidae
Source: the annotation of a GenBank genome assembly
GCAGACACAUUCCAGCCAAUCAGCAGCAGACCCUCCCUCCCAGACCCUCCCACCUCCUGGACAGCAUCCAUUUUGAAGCUGCAUUCUUAGUGAGCUGUCCAGGAGGUGGGAGGGUCUGGGAGGGAGGGUCUGCUGCUGAUUGGCUGGAAUAUGUCUG